RNAcentral lists this long non-coding RNA (1000 nucleotides) under Homo sapiens (human). Its description in RNAcentral is "HSALNT0314692". The record is from RNAcentral. Lineage: Eukaryota; Metazoa; Chordata; Mammalia; Primates; Hominidae.
AGUAAAGCUUUCUGCAGUCUACUCUCCUUUUGUAGUCAGAUAAAUUCAGGCUAGAUUCCUAAUUUUCCACUUAUUAGUUGAGUGACUUUGGGCAAAUUAACUCACCUCCCUAACCUUCAGUUUUAUCUGUAAACCUUAUGAUAGCAGUUUGCUCCCGUGAGGCUACAUAAGGCACCUAAUACACUUAGCAGAGCGCUUAGUACCUGGCAAACGCUCACUAAUUGUAAGAUAUGAUUGCUGUUAAUAGCGUUCGCUGCUAGUGGCUGGCUCAUAAGCGUUUUUUAAAAAUCACCACUUCAAUCCCCUUAGAACGUGCUUCCUUAGGUUAACGGCCCUUAUUCUUCUGUGUCCCACGUCUCAACAGAGCCCCUUCCUCCUCCACCCAGGGGAGGCCCAACUGCACCAGGCCAUUCCACUGCUUCAGGACGCAACUGUGCAGAGCAUCAAGACAAAAAUCUCAGUCUUCGAGGAACUCACAGUGUAGCAGAAAAGACAAAGGAGGUAAACAGGAGGAGCAUGAAUAAUUCAUCUUGAUGUAAUCAUGCAAGACUCCUAAGAAGAUGUUAGGAGACCCUGUCAUCAUUCUUUUGGCCUCUAGUGUCCUUUAUCUUCAUGUUUGCUGGCUUCCUUUUACUACUAUGGAAAUACAACAUAUGCAAAAGUAGUGUUUUCACUGUUUAAAAACAUCGUCAGCAGCAUCAUCAUCAUUAACUGCACCAGGAAGCCAUGACUCCUUUCUGGACAAGGUGCACUUGCCUGUCAUCCUUCCAUCUCUUUCUUCCUCCUUGAAGUUCACAAUACCCAGUCCAGGAGCAUUGCAGAGAAUGCUAGGUGUGUCUGCAGACUUGACUUUAAAAGAAAACAAGUUCCUUCAAGUGAGUUCAUCAUGAUGGGAAUGAUAAUUUGUUUGAGAGAAUGUGUGUUCUUUGGCAAAGGAACUCCUGUUAUACCAUGACAGUAAUAAUAGCAGUAAUAAAAUCACCAAUAAUAAAUUUACUUU